CCCUUAGAUGUUCUGGGCCGCACGCGCGCUACACUGACGAUGGCAACGAGUUUUUCCUUCGCCGAAAGGUGUGGGUAAUCUUUUGAAAUAUCGUCGUGCUGGGGAUAGAUCAUUGCAAUUUUUGAUCUUGAACGAGGAAUUCCUAGUAAGCGCGAGUCAUCAGCUCGCGUUGAUUACGUCCCUGCCCUUUGUACACACCGCCCGUCGCUACUACCGAUUGAAUGGUUUAGUGAGGACUCCUGAUUGGCGCCGCCGCCCCGGCAACGGAGCAGCGGACUGCCGAAAAGUUGUUCAAACUUGAUCAUUUAGAGGAAGUAAAAGUCGUAACA
This 329-nucleotide ribosomal RNA is filed under the name uncultured eukaryote. RNAcentral's name for it is "partial 18S ribosomal RNA". It matches the Rfam family "Eukaryotic small subunit ribosomal RNA", at positions 1470 to 1796 of the family's 1831-position model. The record is from RNAcentral.